This is a small nucleolar RNA of Pan troglodytes (chimpanzee), 104 nucleotides long. It matches the Rfam family "Small nucleolar RNA U13". Lineage: Eukaryota; Metazoa; Chordata; Mammalia; Primates; Hominidae. The record is from Rfam.
AUGCUUUUGUAGUUCAUAAAUGUAAUAAUCGGCUUUUCAUGCUCAUGUGUGAGAUGUACCUUCCUCAAACUUUGUUACCAUGUUAGAACAUUACCUGUCUGAUG